This is a long non-coding RNA of Chenopodium quinoa (quinoa), 882 nucleotides long. RefSeq lists it as uncharacterized. The record is from RefSeq and is a predicted model, not a curated record. The transcript has 2 exons. NCBI's taxonomy places the organism in Eukaryota, Viridiplantae, Streptophyta, Magnoliopsida, Caryophyllales, Amaranthaceae.
AAAAUCAAUACUUUGAAUGACUACCCCAAAAACUCAUCAGUUUCUUUUUUCCCUUUCUCUCUCUUCUUCACUCUUUCUCUCUCUUCCUUCAAAUUCUCCCUGGUGCGAUUUUUCAUUGUUCUUCGCAUAUCAAAUUCGUGAAUUUUUUCUUCCAUCUUCGUCACCUGUUAUUUUGAACAAUUGGAGAUCGUAUCUUAAUGCAAGAGCUUCAGCAAUUGCAGGAGAAGUGUAGUAUGAGCAUACUUUUCCAGCAGCUACAACCUUAUCCAACUCAUCCAUGAUCACUGUCCCAAGCCUAAUAGCCCGCCCCGCUCAAACAUAUGCAUCCAUAUCCACCUUCUUGUAAAUGAUCGGGUUGAGUGUUGCUGCCCUGCCAUGCAAGCCCUACCAAGGCUGCAACUGCUGCCUUGCAGGUCCUGCCAAGGCUGCUGCUGCUGCUGGCCCGGCCUAGGCUGCUGCUGCUGCUGCUUCCCUGCCAUGGCUUGCUGCUGCUAUGCUAUUUCUGCUCUACCUCCUGCUGCUGCUAUGCUACUUUUGUUCUACUGCCUGCUACUAUAAAUGUUGCUCGGGAGUUCUUAAAGUUGAGCGAAACGGGAAGCUGCUAUGAGCAAGAGUGCAGCCUAUGCAGGAGGAGCAGCAGAAGCAUGAGCAGAAGUAAUACUAUUUAUUUACUUUAAUGAUGUUUUAAUUUACUUUUUAGCCUUUUUUUAUUUACUUUUGAGCUGUGGUAUUUUGAGUUCAACACUUUAUCACCAAACAGUGACAUGCCCCAUUUCCAACUCCAACCCCUGCCAGAUACGAAAUAAAAGAACAAAACUAUGUUACCAUAACCAAGGGCUUUAUUGCAGUUUUUUUUAUAGAUUAUUUUAUUUACUUUUAAGA